Molecule: non-coding RNA, 1063 nt
Organism: Zootermopsis nevadensis
Lineage: Eukaryota; Metazoa; Arthropoda; Insecta; Blattodea; Termopsidae
Source: RefSeq, a predicted model, not a curated record
UAACAAACCAUUCACUCAGAAGAGUAAUCUGAAUACACAUCAAAACACACAUAGUGGAGAUGGUCCGUAUACUUGCGAAGUGUGUAAUAAAUUAUUCCGUAAUAGGAGUACUCUGAAGAGACAUGAAAGCAUACACAGUGGAGAGCGUCCCUAGUCAGGUUACAAGCAAGAUAUUUUUCUGUGAGAUUCUGAAUAAAUGUCUGAGUAUGCAUAUCUGGUGCGAGAAUAUGUUCUGGUAUUGGAGUAAUGCGUUAUCUGUUCACACAAAAGAGAAGAUAUAUUUGAAAAAGACGUAAAAAUGAAUGACUUUAUUCAGUUCAGUUGAUUUGAUAAAGAAUUAUUUUUCAUUUUAUAAAUAGGUAUUCAGUUACAUUUUGAUUAGAACCAGUGUUGAAUAGGACCCUCACCGUUUUGGAUUAUGGCUCGAAUUGAUCUUUUCCAGUGGUUGCCAGCUGUCAGAUAUUUUGUGAUAUAACAGUCCACACUUAAACAAUUGGUGUACAAGAAGAAGAGAACCAUUUCAGUAUCUGGUGUCAGGUUUAGAAGCAAAGAACUUGAAAAGCACAGAUCAUGAUCAUUCAUUGACCAAUGGUAGAGACAGUUUUAAAGCUGAAUCAAAGAGAAAAGGUUCCUGUUCAAUGUUGUUUCCAAUAAAAAUAUGACAAUGAUAAAUAAAAUACCUGAAUCCCCUGAGUGAACAUCAACUUUUGCAUAGUGAGGGCCGUCCAUAUUCCUGUGAUGUGUGCAAUAAAUCAUUCAGUAUAAAGGGGUACCUGAAGAGACAUCAGCGCAUACACAGUGGUGAGCGGCCUUAUUCCUGUGUUGUAUGCAAUAAAACAUUCAGUCAUAACUGGUGCCUGAAGAUUCAUCAACGCAUACACAGUGGUGAGCGGCCAUAUUCCUGUGACGUGUGCGAUAAAACAUUCAGUGUGAGCAGUUGCCUGAAGAUUCAUAAACGCAUACACAGUGGUGAGUGGCCUUAUUCCUGUGUAGUAUGCAAUAAAACAUUCAGUCGUAACUGGCGCCUGAAAAUUCAUAAACGCAUACACAGUGGUGAGCGUCC